Molecule: ribosomal RNA, 460 nt
Filed under: uncultured bacterium
Lineage: Bacteria
Description: partial 16S ribosomal RNA
Rfam family: Bacterial small subunit ribosomal RNA
Source: RNAcentral
CCUACGUGAGGCAGCAGUGAGGAAUAUUGGUCAAUGGGCGAGAGCCUGAACCAGCCAAGUCGCGUGAAGGAUGACGGCCCUACGGGUUGUAAACUUCUUUUGUCAGGGAGCAAUUGAGUCCACGUGUGGUCUUAUCGAUAGUACCUGAAGAAAAAGCAUCGGCUAACUCCGUGCCAGCAGCCGCGUGAAUACGGAGGAUGCGAGCGUUAUCCGGAUUUAUUGGGUUUAAAGGGUGCGUAGGCGGAAUAUCAAGUCAGCGGUAAAAAUUCGGGGCUCAACCCCGUCGUGCCGUUGAAACUGAUGUUCUUGAGUGGGCGAGAAGUAUGCGGAAUGCGUGGUGUAGCGGUGAAAUGCAUAGAUAUCACGCAGAACUCCGAUUGCGAAGGCAGCAUACCGGCGCCCAACUGACGCUGAAGCACGAAAGCGUGGGUAUCGAACAGGAUUAGAUACCCCGGUAGUC